CCUAGGCCUCCCAAAGUGUACCACGCCCGGCCUUGUUUUAUUUUUAUAAGCAACAGACAGUCUCUAUAAUCUGUGGAAUCAGGGUAUAAUAUAAAUAAUAACACACCCAAAAGGUGGGCAAAGAGACAUCCACCCUGACACUCAAUCCUUUUGGUGCCAACCCCAUAGGCAGCCAAGAAGCCCUUUGACAAUGAAGAGAAAGGAACUGAAGCUGGAAGAUACAUGAAAGAUAAUUGGUAGCUUUGGGGCCGAUACAGCAAAGAAGUUGAAAGUGGUGUCUGCCAUUUAUAGAAAUGACUCAUUUCUUUAAGUGGCCUAAACCCUAUUACCAAUUUAACUCAUGCCCCCAACUCACAUAUUUCCCUGGCCAUCCCACCUUAAACAGAAUAAGACAGACAAGUUACUAUAUAUUUCACUAAGCAUUCGAAUUUAUUAGAGUCUGCACUUUGCUCAGAUGAAGGGUUUGUGGUCUUAUCCGCUGCUCCUAGCUGGGAGUUGGAGUGUGUUGCUCAGUUAAUAUAGUAUGUCCUCUGUAUGUUCUCCUGUAACAACUGGACAGUGUUUUCCUUGGCCAGAGGGGCUGAGCUGUAUUCACUUGCUCAAGGACUACAAGGUACCCAGUGGAAUGUUUCAUGUUUAUUGGCUCUUAAUGGACUACUACUGAGGACUUGAGGGAAACAAACUAUAAGCCAUUCAUGCUCAGUCAAGCUUCCUUGGAGGAGACUGAAUUCCCCCUGUGAUCGCUGCCACCCUGCUGAUUCAACCGCCACUCAGACUGCCAUCAGAGGUUACUGGCUCUAGACUCAAUGUCACGAGGAGAAUGACAGCCUCCACACAAUCUGUCCCGAAAGUCUUCUCAUCUCUCCACUUCAUGAGCCUUACUCCUGCACAUCACCAAAGACAAGAGAUGCAGACUUCCAGGAGUGAAAUAACAGAAAACAACCAGUGACUCACCGUGACACUGGAAAUGGCUGUGAAGAACGCAGAAUGCUGAGAGCCAACUGUCCAAUGGAUGAACAUGAGAAAGAACUAAGACAACCCCUCGAUUUCCUAAAUAUGCCAAAGGAAAGCCUCCCUUGGGGAAUGGCUGAUGCUUGGAAUAUAGAUGGCAUGUAUAAUUACUUAGUUUACAAACUGGGGUCAGUUUGACAUUAUAUGAUAAGCUGUAAGGAGAAGAAAUCUUCUUACCUCUCUACGUUCCUAAUUUGGCUGUAAAUGUGGUGUGCUGCAGGCAAGUCACAUUGGCACAUGAGAGCAGACUGUUAAAUUCUCAGAAAUUUUGUAAACCAGUUGUUAAACACAGGCAUCAUUAAGAAUUAAAGUAUAUAAACUUUCAAAUAAAUAAAUUUUAUCAAAAACAAAAAUAUAUUUUUUCAAAACUCAACACUUCCUAAUUAUUAUCAUUUUACUAUCAUCUAUGCUCUUGAAGUUAUAUUUUUAUCUAUUCUAUGGGCAUAAUGGAAACAAUAUGUCCAGCUCACUUUCCAACUUUUCCCUUAGUUGCAUCACACUGGUAGCUUGAGAUCAGCUAAGGUAGAGGUAUUCAUAUCACAAAAAUUGGCAAACACUACAAAUCAGGAUUUCAUUUGUCUUGUUGACUGUCUACACCACUAGUUCUCAACCAAGGUGACGUUUGCCCCUCCAAUGCCUAACAUUUGGCAAUGUCUCGAUAAAUUUUUGGUUCUUCCAACGGGGGAUUACUACUAGUAUCUAGUGGGUAGAGACCAUGGAUGCUGCUAAAUACCCUAUAAUUCACAGGACAACUGUAUUAAUCUGUCCUCACAUUGCUAAUAAAGACAUACCAGAGACUGGGUUACUUACAAAGGAAAGAGGCUUAAUUGAUUCACCGUUUCACAUGGCUGGGAGAACUCAC
This 1873-nucleotide long non-coding RNA is filed under the name Homo sapiens (human). RNAcentral describes it as "HSALNT0022148". The record is from RNAcentral. Lineage: Eukaryota; Metazoa; Chordata; Mammalia; Primates; Hominidae.